AUGCACGCUGGCGGCGUGCUUAACACAUGCAAGUCGCACGAUGAAGCCCAGCUUGCUGGGUGGAUUAGUGGCGAACGGGUGAGUAACACGUGAGUAACCUGCCCUUAACUCUGGGAUAAGCCUGGGAAACUGGGUCUAAUACCGGAUAGGAGCGUCCACCGCAUGGUGGGUGUUGGAAAGAUUUAUCGGUUUUGGAUGGACUCGCGGCCUAUCAGCUUGUUGGUGAGGUAAUGGCUCACCAAGGCGACGACGGGUAGCCGGCCUGAGAGGGUGACCGGCCACACUGGGACUGAGACACGGCCCAGACUCCUACGGGAGGCAGCAGUGGGGAAUAUUGCACAAUGGGCGAAAGCCUGAUGCAGCGACGCCGCGUGAGGGAUGACGGCCUUCGGGUUGUAAACCUCUUUCAGUAGGGAAGAAGCGAAAGUGACGGUACCUGCAGAAGAAGCACCGGCUAACUACGUG
Molecule: ribosomal RNA, 465 nt
Filed under: uncultured bacterium
Lineage: Bacteria
Description: partial 16S ribosomal RNA
Rfam family: Bacterial small subunit ribosomal RNA
Source: RNAcentral